RNAcentral lists this ribosomal RNA (253 nucleotides) under uncultured bacterium. RNAcentral describes it as "partial 16S ribosomal RNA". It matches the Rfam family "Bacterial small subunit ribosomal RNA", at positions 524 to 776 of the family's 1533-position model. The record is from RNAcentral.
UACAUAGGGGGCAAGCGUUGUUCGGAAUUACUGGGCGUAAAGGGCGCGUAGGCGGCCUGUUAAGUCGAACGUGAAAUCCCCGGGCUCAACCCGGGAACUGCGUCCGAUACUGGCAGGCUUGAAUUCGGGAGAGGGAUGCGGAAUUCCAGGUGUAGCGGUGAAAUGCGUAGAUAUCUGGAGGAACACCGGUGGCGAAGGCGGCAUCCUGGACCGAGAUUGACGCUGAGGCGCGAAAGCCAGGGGAGCAAACGGG